UCAUUGGUGGUUCAGUGGUAGGAUUCUCACCUCCCAUGUGAGAGACCCGAGUUCAAUUCUCAGCCAACGCA
This 71-nucleotide transfer RNA is filed under the name Loxodonta africana (African savanna elephant). It matches the Rfam family "tRNA". From Rfam's summary of the family: Transfer RNA (tRNA) molecules are approximately 80 nucleotides in length. Their secondary structure includes four short double-helical elements and three loops (D, anti-codon, and T loops). Further hydrogen bonds mediate the characteristic L-shaped molecular structure. tRNAs have two regions of fundamental functional importance: the anti-codon, which is responsible for specific mRNA codon recognition, and the 3' end, to which the tRNAs corresponding amino acid is attached (by aminoacyl-tRNA synthetases). tRNAs cope with the degeneracy of the genetic code in two manners: having more than one tRNA (with a specific anti-codon) for a particular amino acid; and 'wobble' base-pairing, i.e. permitting non-standard base-pairing at the 3rd anti-codon position. Lineage: Eukaryota; Metazoa; Chordata; Mammalia; Proboscidea; Elephantidae. The record is from Rfam by way of RNAcentral.